GCCGGGGUAGCUCAGCCUGGUUAGAGUGCCAGACUCAUAAUCUGGAGGUCGCGAGUUCGAAACUCGCCCCCGGCA
RNAcentral lists this transfer RNA (75 nucleotides) under Nitrosopumilus maritimus SCM1. RNAcentral's name for it is "tRNA-Met (CAT) (tRNA-Met-CAT-1-1)". It matches the Rfam family "tRNA". From Rfam's summary of the family: Transfer RNA (tRNA) molecules are approximately 80 nucleotides in length. Their secondary structure includes four short double-helical elements and three loops (D, anti-codon, and T loops). Further hydrogen bonds mediate the characteristic L-shaped molecular structure. tRNAs have two regions of fundamental functional importance: the anti-codon, which is responsible for specific mRNA codon recognition, and the 3' end, to which the tRNAs corresponding amino acid is attached (by aminoacyl-tRNA synthetases). tRNAs cope with the degeneracy of the genetic code in two manners: having more than one tRNA (with a specific anti-codon) for a particular amino acid; and 'wobble' base-pairing, i.e. permitting non-standard base-pairing at the 3rd anti-codon position. The record is from RNAcentral. RNAcentral also lists the same sequence under 19 other names. Lineage: Archaea; Thermoproteati; Nitrososphaerota; Nitrososphaeria; Nitrosopumilales; Nitrosopumilaceae.